Molecule: long non-coding RNA, 657 nt
Organism: Canis lupus familiaris (dog)
Lineage: Eukaryota; Metazoa; Chordata; Mammalia; Carnivora; Canidae
Exons: 3
Source: RefSeq, a predicted model, not a curated record
CUUGCAGACUCGGUCGGGCAGCAGGGGCAGUGACCUCGGCUGCACUAGCAGAGCCAGCAAGACCUCCAGGUUCCCUUGCUCCAACAGGAAGAUGGCCAGAGACUCCUGUGCUGGUGAGCCCUGCAGCAGUGCCAGUAGCAGGUCCAGAGCACCCACCACCUGGGGACACAGUCUCAUUCUGGGCUGGCUGCUCCCCUCAGCGUAGCCACACCCCACCCCUCACCCAAGCCUCACCCUCACCACCCUCCAGCCUACCUGGCCAUCAUCACCUGCAGCCACCAGAAAGCUAAGCACAACCUGCAUGUCAUCAGUGGCAGAGCUCCGAACCAGCAACUCCCGCACCAGGCCAAGGAGUGAGCUUCUGUCUGUGUUCCCGGACUAUGCUAGACAUGUACUGGAUGUGGCCUGAAUGGGCAUCAUCAGAGGACUCAGGCCACCAGGCUCCUCCUGGCUUACCUUCCCUCCCGCAAGGACAGCACCAAAGAGAUGGACGAGACGCAACAGCAGCAUGGGAGGCAAGCCAUCUGCAUCCUGCAGGCUCUCUGGAUGGGGUGGGUGCACAGGACAGGACAAUAUCACCAAGUUUGCAGGGGACUACCCAAGAGGAGGGUGUCCUGGGUUGGGGUAGAGGGCUGGGACACCCAGUGUAAGGGAAAA